CCUACGGGUGGCUGCAGUGAGGAAUAUUGGACAAUGGGCGCAAGCCUGAUCCAGCCAUGCCGCGUGCAGGAAGAAGCAUCUAUGGUGUGUAAACUGCUUUUGUACAGGAAGAAACACCCCGACGUGUCGGGACUUGACGGUACUGUAAGAAUAAGGAUCGGCUAACUCCGUGCCAGCAGCCGCGGUAAUACGGAGGAUCCAAGCGUUAUCCGGAAUCAUUGGGUUUAAAGGGUCCGUAGGCGGUUUGGUAAGUCAGUGGUGAAAGCCCGCAGCUC
RNAcentral lists this ribosomal RNA (275 nucleotides) under uncultured bacterium. RNAcentral's name for it is "partial 16S ribosomal RNA". It matches the Rfam family "Bacterial small subunit ribosomal RNA", at positions 338 to 610 of the family's 1533-position model. The record is from RNAcentral.